CGCAAUUUGCCGGCGUGCCUAUACAUGCAGUCGAACGAACUCUGGUAUUGAUUGGUGCUUGCAUCAUGAUUUACAUUUGAGUGAGUGGCGAACUGGUGAGUAACACGUGGGAAACCUGCCCAGAAGCGGGGGAUAACACCUGGAAACAGAUGCUAAUACCGCAUAACAACUUGGACCGCAUGGUCCGAGUUUGAAAGAUGGCUUCGGCUAUCACUUUUGGAUGGUCCCGCGGCGUAUUAGCUAGAUGGUGGGGUAACGGCUCACCAUGGCAAUGAUACGUAGCCGACCUGAGAGGGUAAUCGGCCACAUUGGGACUGAGACACGGCCCAAACUCCUACGGGAGGCAGCAGUAGGGAAUCUUCCACAAUGGACGAAAGUCUGAUGGAGCAACGCCGCGUGAGUGAAGAAGGGUUUCGGCUCGUAAAACUCUGUUGUUAAAGAAGAACAUAUCUGAGAGUAACUGUUCAGGUAUUGACGGUAUUUAACCAGAAAGCCACGGCUAACUACGUGCCAGCAGCCGCGGUAAUACGUAGGUGGCAAGCGUUGUCCGGAUUUAUUGGGCGUAAAGCGAGCGCAGGCGGUUUUUUAAGUCUGAUGUGAAAGCCUUCGGCUCAACCGAAGAAGUGCAUCGGAAACUGGGAAACUUGAGUGCAGAAGAGGACAGUGGAACUCCAUGUGUAGCGGUGAAAUGCGUAGAUAUAUGGAAGAACACCAGUGGCGAAGGCGGCUGUCUGGUCUGUAACUGACGCUGAGGCUCGAAAGUAUGGGUAGCAAACAGGAUUAGAUACCCUGGUAGUCCAUACCGUAAACGAUGAAUGCUAAGUGUUGGAGGGUUUCCGCCCUUCAGUGCUGCAGCUAACGCAUUAAGCAUUCCGCCUGGGGAGUACGGGCCGCAAGGCUGAAACUCAAAGGAAUUGACGGGGGCCCGCA
This 930-nucleotide ribosomal RNA is filed under the name Lactiplantibacillus plantarum. RNAcentral's name for it is "bacterial SSU rRNA". It matches the Rfam family "Bacterial small subunit ribosomal RNA", at positions 30 to 925 of the family's 1533-position model. The record is from RNAcentral. Lineage: Bacteria; Bacillati; Bacillota; Bacilli; Lactobacillales; Lactobacillaceae.